AUUGAACGCUGGCGGCAGGCCUAACACAUGCAAGUCGAGCGGAUGAAGGGAGCUUGCUCCUGGAUUCAGCGGCGGACGGGUGAGUAAUGCCUAGGAAUCUGCCUGGUAGUGGGGGAUAACGUCCGGAAACGGGCGCUAAUACCGCAUACGUCCUGAGGGAGAAAGUGGGGGAUCUUCGGACCUCACGCUAUCUGAUGACCCUAGGUCGGAUUAGCUAGUUGGUGGGGUAAAGGCCUACCAAGGCGACGAUCCGUAACUGGUCUGAGAGGAUGAUCAGUCACACUGGAACUGAGACACGGUCCAGACUCCUACGGGAGGCAGCAGUGGGGAAUAUUGGACAAUGGGCGAAAGCCUGAUCCAGCCAUGCCGCGUGUGUGAAGAAGGUCUUCGGAUUGUAAAGCACUUUAAGUUGGGAGGAAGGGCAGUAAGUUAAUACCUUGCUGUUUUGACGUUACCAACAGAAUAAGCACCGGCUAACUUCGUG
RNAcentral lists this ribosomal RNA (484 nucleotides) under uncultured bacterium. RNAcentral's name for it is "partial 16S ribosomal RNA". It matches the Rfam family "Bacterial small subunit ribosomal RNA", at positions 30 to 507 of the family's 1533-position model. The record is from RNAcentral.